Long non-coding RNA from Danio rerio (zebrafish), 1806 nucleotides. The record is from Ensembl. Lineage: Eukaryota; Metazoa; Chordata; Actinopteri; Cypriniformes; Danionidae.
GAGUGUUUGGCUCUGCGGUUCUGCCCAGUCGGCCCAGUGUUUCUGCUUCCCCUGAGCAGAGUGACGCGGUCAGCAGAGCAGAUCCUCCGUCAGGGGUGUACGGACACGCUUUCUCCAGCAAACACACAGACUCGGACGCCAGUCCUGAACCACAGCAGCUGCAGGAGAAGGUGAAACUGUGUAAGUUUGCGAGUGAGAAGAUGCGUCAGCAGCGUGUGGAGCAGCAGGAGCCAAUUAAACGCGACGAUACACAUGAUGAAGAUGAAGACGAUGAUGUGAAAGGUGGAAGUGAACUACACUGAUGUGUGUGCGUGUGUUUGUAUGUGUGUGUGUGUGUGUGUGUGUGUGUGUGUGUCUGUAUGUUUGUGUGUGUCUGCUGACAGUAUGUGUGUGUGUAUGUGUGUGUGUGUCAGUAUAUUUGUAUGUUGACUGUGUGUGUGUGUGUGUGUGUGUUUGUGUCAGUAUAUUUGUGUAUGUGUGUGUGUGUGUGUUUGUGUCUGUAUAUUUGUAUGUUGACUGUCUGUGUGUGUGUGUGUGUGCGUGUGCGUGUGUGUUUGUGUGUUUGUGUCUGUAUAUUUGUGUGUUGACUGUGUGUGUGUGUGUCUGUCUGUCUGUCUGUCUGUAUAUUUGUGUUGACUGUGCGUAUGUGUGUGUGCGUGCGUGCGUGUGUGUGUGUGUGUGUGUCUGUCUGUCUGUCUGUCUGUAUAUUUGUGUUGACUGUGUGUGUAUGUGUGUGUUCUAGACGUCAACAUGAACGGCUGUGAGUCUCCCUCAGAUGAAUCUCCCUCCAGCCCUAACGGACCAAUCAAAAGCAUCAGCCCCGCCCAUCAGCCCGCCCCUCCGACUGGACCGCCCAAUAGAACCACAGUGCCGCGACUCAGACGAGCAUCUAGUCUGAACAGAAGCAGACCGGCUGCCACACACAGCUGCGAUGAGCUGGUUUCUGGCAGUCCUAAGAAGGAGUCUCAGGAUCAGCUGGAGCUGCGGCCGUUCUCUAAACCGGAGCUGGCGCUGACGCAAAGCUUCAGACUGACCGCUGCAGACGACUGGGAGAAGAAGAUCGAGGGCAUGAACAUGCUGCGCAGUCUGGCUCAGUAUCAUCCUGAUGUGCUGAUGAGCCGCAUUCAUGACGUGUGUCUCGCUCUCAUUCAGGAGGUGCGUAACCUGCGCUCCGGCGUGUCCCGUGUUGCCGUGGUGACCCUGGGCGAGAUGUUUGCGUCCCUGCAGAAGGGGAUGGAUCAGGAGCUGGACGCACCGGUGCGAGCGCUGCUGCAUAAAGCUGGAGAAUCCAACGGCUUCAUCCGCACAGACGUGGAGCGCGCGCUGGACAGCCUGACACAACACUGCACACACACACGCUGCAUACACGCACUGCUGGCCGGAGGACUCGGGUCAGGAAACACUCUCUCUCUCUCUGUGUGUGUGUGCUUACCUCCAGUGUUUAUGACUAUAAUGUGUGUGUGUGUGUUCUCUGACAGUCAUCUGAACGCAGCGGUGCGCAGGUGUACAGCUCAUCAUCUCAGUGUUCUGCUGGAGCGUGUGGGUGCUGCUCGCCUGCUGAGCGGCGCUAAAGACGUGACAGAGCGACUGCUGCCCGCCGUGGCCAAGCUGGCGCAGGACUCCAGUCAGGAGGCCAGGUACUUCGGCCGGCGGAUGCUGCUGUUUCUCUCCUCUCACCGUGACUUUGAUAAGAUGAUGGAGAAGUUUAUUCCUGCGAAAGACCUGCCGGCCCUCAGAGACGCCGUCUUCACCCUCAAAACCAAGGUGUGCACAAAACACACACUCAUCAGAUCACUACGGCGCUAA